This 253-nucleotide ribosomal RNA is filed under the name uncultured bacterium. RNAcentral's name for it is "partial 16S ribosomal RNA". It matches the Rfam family "Bacterial small subunit ribosomal RNA", at positions 524 to 776 of the family's 1533-position model. The record is from RNAcentral.
UACGGGGGGGGCAAGCGUUAAUCGGAAUUACUGGGCGUAAAGCGUGCGCAGGCGGUUAUGUAAGACAGUUGUGAAAUCCCCGGGCUUAACCUGGGAACUGCGCUUGUAACUGGCAAGCUAGAGUGUGGCAGAGGGGGGUGGAAUUCCACGUGUAGCAGUGAAAUGCGUAGAGAUGUGGAGGAACACCGAUGGCGAAGGCAGCCCCCUGGGCUAACACUGACGCUCAUGCACGAAAGCGUGGGGAGCAAACAGG